CGCCAGAAAGCUAACCGGUGGAUAUUCAUCGUUGGAGAUGGGAGAGAAGAAUGGUGAUGGAUAUCUUGCCAUUGAAGAUGUUAUCGGCUGUGAGGCAAAGAACAUAUUGGUGAUAUAUCGAAAGGACUGAAGGCAUAUCGCAAGAUUAUUUUUAAAGAGUAGUCGCAUCUCCAAACAUGUUCUUGACAUGAAGAAGUCAGUAUUUUGGCUUGGUUGUGAAGAAGAACUUACGACAAUGAUGAAAGGAAGCUCCAUGGAAGAAGGAGAAGAGGGCGGCGAUGAUGGAAACUGAUGGAAACUCAGAUAACGCUGUCCAGUCAAAUGCAAUUGAAUAUAAAUCAUAUAAAAAGCUCCCCAUAGUAUUGUACCCAAACAGAGCCAUCGGUGACUGUUGAUGCAGCUGCAAGGAGAAAGAAUAGUGCCACGGUGAGUGGUGUUACGACCGUCACUAAAGAAGGAGCAGUUGGCAACAAGUUGAAACACCGGUCAAAAGAAUGGAGAGUUCUGAGAUCCUGUCAUCCGCAGUAUGGGUAACUUUUCUUUUUUAAAAGUAGAAAUUUAUUUUUAUUUUUCUUUCUUUUAAAAAAACGUUACAGAAAAUACCAUUAGGGUUCGAGAUUCAAGCAGAGAGAAAUCUAUAACUAUAACAAUUUGACAAUUGUAUAGAUUUUGUUUCACUCAUUUUGUAAAACAAAUAAUUUUUUCCCUUUUUUUAACUUCAGAAUGGGAUAUUGAUUAUGUGAUGGUGCUCAAUCAAGUCCUUCAAAAUGAUUUUUGCAGCUUAUGAGUGCUCUUCCAAUACUCUCAUUAUCCUCCAACAUAAGUCUAUUGUAGUUAAAGUUUCACUUUAUCAGUUUGAGACACUAUUUGUUCUGUUUUUUUUCUUUUUCUUUAUCUGACAUUGCAUAUCUGAGUUUGAUGUGAUGAUAUUGGGUUAUUGUCAAGGUAUUUUCUUUACUUUUCAUGUGAGUUGUUCUUCUUUCAGAGACUAAUUUUUUUCUUUUGCAACCAAUAUGCAUAUAUUGACUUUGAUUGCUUCAGUAGUGCAACUAUACUUAACUCUAGGCAUU
Non-coding RNA from Arachis ipaensis, 1070 nucleotides. Lineage: Eukaryota; Viridiplantae; Streptophyta; Magnoliopsida; Fabales; Fabaceae. The record is from RefSeq and is a predicted model, not a curated record.